Molecule: ribosomal RNA, 460 nt
Filed under: uncultured bacterium
Lineage: Bacteria
Description: partial 16S ribosomal RNA
Rfam family: Bacterial small subunit ribosomal RNA
Source: RNAcentral
CCUACGGGAGGCAGCAGUGAGGAAUAUUGGUCAAUGGCCGGAAGGCUGAACCAGCCAUGCCGCGUGAAGGUCAGUGCCCUAUGGGCGUUAAACUUCUUUUGUGCGGGAGCAAUAAUGGUCACGUGUGGCCAGACGAGAGUACCGUACGAAUAAGCAUCGGCUAACUCCGUGCCAGCAGCCGCGGUAAUACGGGGGAUGUAAGCGUUAUCCGGAUUUAUUGGGUUUAAAGGGUGCGUAGGCUGUGAGGUAAGUCAGCGGUGAAAUGCCCCCGCUCAACGGGGUGAAGUGCCAUUGAUACUGCCUGGCUGGAAUGCGGAUGCCGUGGGAGGAAUGUGUGGUGUAGCGGUGAAAUGCAUAGAUAUCACACAGAACACCGAUUGCGAAGGCAUCUCACGAAUCCGCGAUUGACGCUGAUGCACGAAAGCGUGGGUAUCAAACAGGAUUAGAUACCCCAGUAGUC